Transfer RNA from Thermovenabulum gondwanense, 84 nucleotides. It matches the Rfam family "tRNA". From Rfam's summary of the family: Transfer RNA (tRNA) molecules are approximately 80 nucleotides in length. Their secondary structure includes four short double-helical elements and three loops (D, anti-codon, and T loops). NCBI's taxonomy places the organism in Bacteria, Bacillati, Bacillota, Clostridia, Thermosediminibacterales, Thermosediminibacteraceae. The record is from Rfam.
GGAGGGGUGUCCGAGUGGUUUAAGGAGCUGGUCUUGAAAACCAGUGCCCCAAAAGGGCCGGGGGUUCGAAUCCCUCCCCCUCUG